Long non-coding RNA from Ailuropoda melanoleuca (giant panda), 1058 nucleotides. RefSeq lists it as uncharacterized. The transcript has 5 exons. The record is from RefSeq and is a predicted model, not a curated record. NCBI's taxonomy places the organism in Eukaryota, Metazoa, Chordata, Mammalia, Carnivora, Ursidae.
CUUACAGCUGGAAUUCGGCACAGGCGCAGUGUGAGGCCACGCCCCUUCUGCUCGCCCACCCCCAGCUCCGCGCCUGCGCGGUUGAGUAAAACAUUAUUGUGGCUGCACCUUCAUUUCUGGCCUUUCCUGGACACUUGGCCUGCAGGACCUCAGGGGCACACUAAUAUGAACAGGGGAAAGAAGACGUAACAGACCUCAGUGCUCAUGGCCUUGUGGUGGAGACAGACACACAGCAAGCUCAAGGCACAGCCAUAGGGAAGGAUACUGCAGAAGCCUAGGAAGGAGAAAAUUCCAAGGAGGAAAUGAUUGGGAGUAAUUUGUAUUCACACAGGAAAUGAUGGCGUCCUGCAGCACUCCAAGGAAAGGGAAGCCAGAGGCAGCUGGCUGCCCCGAGAGCUGCCUGAAGGCCUCUGUCCCUGACCAGCACACCUCAAGCUCAUUCAAGGUACCCGGCUUAUUUCAACAUUUCAUUUCCCGACUGAGGAAAUUGAGGCUCAUGGGUGUUUUGUUUUGUUUUCAGAAACUCUAUUUGCAUGACCUACAAGUAAUAGUAUUAUUGUGCGUGGUCUGUUUCCCUUUCUUUUAUUGUGAAAGUUGUAAUUACUUUUCCCCUUACAGUAAACAUGAUUUCUGUUUAACUCAUGAUGCAUUUGUCUUGGUGCUUCUGUCGGAUUUCCUUUUGAAGAUCCUAUUGUUCCAGCCAUUUGUGCUUCUAUGCCUUCACAGGUUUUUCCUUUUCUGAUGAAAUUUUAAAAUAUUUCCAAUAUGGUAAGAUACAAUAUUUCCUAUGACUGCUUUAAUGUGUUGUUGUAUUUUAUAAGUUGAUCUCUUCAAGCGUUUGGGAUUGAGUUAUUGUUCCUUUAUUUUCUAGAGCUUCCAUUGUUUUUAUAUGUAUGUUGAAAUUUUUGGUCCAUUUUGUCUCUACUAAUGUUCAUUAUGCUAUCAAUACGUCCCUCCAUCUAUGCCAGGCUGGGGUAUUUGGCUAAUUAAAACUAUUUAGGCACAGUAUAACAUAUAGAGAUGUCGAACUACUCACUGUGUCAUAGACUUGAAACUAA